CGAUUCAAAGUGAUCGGGUUGCCGUCUGAGCUCUAGCUAGCCAUACCCAGGCCUUGUUAACUUAACCAGUCCUAGAGAAGGCUCUGGCUCACACGGUAGCUUGCUCACUUAGAA
RNAcentral lists this microRNA precursor (114 nucleotides) under Amphimedon queenslandica. Its description in RNAcentral is "microRNA aqu-mir-2019 precursor". Lineage: Eukaryota; Metazoa; Porifera; Demospongiae; Haplosclerida; Niphatidae. The record is from miRBase by way of RNAcentral.